UCCCUGGUGGUCCAGUGGUUAGGACUCUUGGCACUUUCACUGCCAUGGCCCAGGUUCAAUCCCUGGUCUAAGAA
This 74-nucleotide transfer RNA is filed under the name Bos taurus (domestic cattle). It matches the Rfam family "tRNA". From Rfam's summary of the family: Transfer RNA (tRNA) molecules are approximately 80 nucleotides in length. Their secondary structure includes four short double-helical elements and three loops (D, anti-codon, and T loops). Lineage: Eukaryota; Metazoa; Chordata; Mammalia; Artiodactyla; Bovidae. The record is from Rfam by way of RNAcentral. RNAcentral also lists the same sequence under 2 other names.